UACGAAGGGGGCUAGCGUUGCUCGGAAUCACUGGGCGUAAAGGGUGCGUAGGCGGGGCUUUAAGUCAGGGGUGAAAUCCUGGAGCUCAACUCCAGAACUGCCUUUGAUACUGAAGAUCUUGAGUUCGGGAGAGGUGAGUGGAACUGCGAGUGUAGAGGUGAAAUUCGUAGAUAUUCGGAGGAACACCAGUGGCGAAGGCGGCUCACUGGCUCGAUACUGACGCUGAGGUGCGAAAGCGUGGGGAGCAAACAGG
Molecule: ribosomal RNA, 253 nt
Filed under: uncultured bacterium
Lineage: Bacteria
Description: partial 16S ribosomal RNA
Rfam family: Bacterial small subunit ribosomal RNA
Source: RNAcentral